This 2758-nucleotide long non-coding RNA is filed under the name Phasianus colchicus (ring-necked pheasant). Its description in RNAcentral is "lncRNA (ENSPCLG00000017145.1)". Lineage: Eukaryota; Metazoa; Chordata; Aves; Galliformes; Phasianidae. The record is from RNAcentral.
GGAAUUGGGGGAAUUGGGGGUGAGGUUGGGGGAAAUGGGGCUGGAAUUGGGGGAAAUGGGGCUAAAGUGGGGAGAAGUGGGGCUGGAUUUAGGGGAAUUGGGGUUAAAAGCAGAGAAAAUGGGGCUGAGAUGGGGGGUGGGGAAGUGGGAGGAAAUGGGGCUGAGAUUGGGGUGCGUGGGGCGGAAGUUGGCUUCAAAACUGGGGAGAGGAGAGGGGGAAAUUGGGGGCACGGGGCUGAAAAUUGGGGGCACGGGGCUGAAAAUUGGAGAUGUGGCCCCAGAAGUGGAGAGAACGGAGCCGAAUAUGAGGGAAGUGGCCCCAAAAAUGGGAAGAACGGAGCUGAAAAUGGAGGAAACUGCCCCAAAAAUGGAGAGAAGAGCUUUGAAAAUAGAGGGAAUGAGUCUGAAAAUGGAGAGGAUGGCCCCAAAAAUGGAGGAAACGGCCCCAAAAGUGGGGGGAGCUGCUGCAGAAACGGCGGGAGUUGUUCUGAAAACGGAGGAAAGAGACCCAAAAAUGCGAGGAAUGACCCCAAAAGUUGCCUUGGAAAGGAUGGAAGCAGCGCUGAAAAUGGGGAGGACGGCUUUGAAAAUUGGGGGAACGGACCCAGAAAUGAAGAGGGCAGCCCCAAAAAUGGGGGAAACGGACCCAAAAAUGGGGGAAACGGACCCAAAAAUGGGGGAAGUUGCCUGGAAAACGGUGCAGACGUCGCUGGAAAUGCUGAGAACGGUUUUGGAAACGUCCAAAAUUGUGGUGAAAACGCUGGAAACGGUACAGAAAACGCUGAUUUUGGGAGUGAAAAUACCGCAGGUGGGACUGAAAAUAGCAGAAACGGUACAAAAAAUGCUGAUUUUGGAGCCGAAAUGGGCAGGAAUGGUACAGAAUACGCUAAAAUUGGGGCUGAAAAUGGCGGAUUUGGGUCUGAAAAUGGCGGAUUUGGGACCGGAAGUGGAAUUGGGUCUGAAAAUGGCGGAUUUGGGAGUGAAAAUGGCGGAUUUGGGUCUGAAAACAGCGGAAUUGAGACGGAAUGUAGUAGAUUUGUGUCUGAAAAUUGCAGAGCUGGGACUGAAAAUGGCAGAAUUGGGACUGAAAAUGGCAGAAUUGGGAGUGAAAAUGUCAGAACCGGAGCAGAAAAUUCCAGAAUCAGGACUGAAAGUUGCAGGUUGGACAGCGAAGGCCUCAGAAUUGGGGCAGAAAACGUCAGAUUUGGCACCGAGUUCAAAGGUGGAACUGAAAAUCUGCUGCUCGGCGCUGAAAAUACCAGAAUUUGGGCUGAAAAUACCAGAAUUGGGACUGAAAAUACGAAACACAGUACUGAGGAUCUCCGGUUUGGUGCUGAAAAUGCCAAAUUCAGCACGGAAAAUAGCAAAAUCGCUGCUGAAAAUCUCCGUUUCGGCGCUGAAAAUACGAAGUUUGGUACUGAAAAUGGCCGAUUUGGUGCCGAAAAUACCAAAUUCGGCGCUGAAAAUGCGAAGCUUGGUACUGAAAAUACCAAAGUGGGUACGGAAAGCAUCCGGUUUGGCGCUGAACUCGUCGGAUUUGGGGCUGAAAACACCAAAUUCACUCCCGAAACGCUUCGCUUCGGUGCUGAGAACGUCCGCUUUGGGGCUGAAAAUGCCAAAUUUGGGGCUGAAAAUGUGGAAUUUGGGUCAGAGAACGCCCGACUCAGGGCUGAAAACGCCCGAUCUGGAUCCGAAAACGUCCAGUUUGGGUCCAAAAAUGCCCAGUUUGGGUCUGAAAAUGCCCGAUUUGGGGUUGAAAACGCCCAAUUUGGGUCUGAAAACGGCCAAUUCGGGUCCAGAAAUCCCCAAUUUGGGUCCAAAAAUGCCCAAUUUGGGUCCGAAAACACCCGAUUUGGGGCUGAAAAUGUCCAAUUAGGGGCCGAAAACCUCCAGUUUGGGGCCGAAAACACCCGAUUUGGGGCGGAAAACACCCGGUUUGGUUCCGAGCCCCCCAAACUCCCCCCCGACCCCCACGUUUGCACCGAAACGCCCCAAAUUUGCCCCGAAACGCCUCACAGCCCCGAAUGCUUCGACACCAACGACGGCUUCUCCUCCUUCUGCUCCGUGGCUCCCUUCACCGGCGCCCACCGCCCGCGGGGGGGGUCCGAACCCAUCCCCACCCCCUCCCCUCCUUACGCCGACCCCAAAGCUGAGGCCGUCAGCCCCAAACGCAGCCGCGACGACCCCAAAUCCGCCGGCCCCAAACCCAAAGGUCGCAAACGUUUCUCCCUACGCAGCGUGGGGCGAAGCGUCCGAGGGAUUUUGCAAUGGAGGGCGACCCCGGAAACCCCACCGGACCCACAGAAUCCAUCGACCCACAGAUCUGGAAGCACCGAAGGGACCCCUGGGACCAGAUGGGAUCGGUUGCGCAUUGGCAGAGCUCGGACCCCGCGUCGGGGGCUGCCCGGUUUGGUGCUGCCCGAAGCCGGGGGUCCCGGGGGGGGCAGGGGGAGGAGGUGCCGGGUGAUGCUGCGGCGGGAGCCCCAUGGAGACGUCCUGGAGCUCUACGUGCCCCCCAAGGUGGGAAACGGAGGACGGGAGCGCGGCUGCCCCACUGAGAGACCCUUUUCUGUCCCAUUUUCAGCCCUAUUUUCAGUCUGAUUUUCAGUUCCAUUUUCAGUCUCUUUUUCAGCUGCAUUUCCAUCCCAUUUCAGACCCAUUUCAGCCCCAUUUCCAUCCCAUUUCAGUUCCAUUUCAGCCCCAUUUCCAUCCCAUUUCAGUCCCAUUUCAGCCCCAUUUCCAUCCCAUUUCAGCUCCA